Molecule: ribosomal RNA, 497 nt
Filed under: uncultured bacterium
Lineage: Bacteria
Description: partial 16S ribosomal RNA
Rfam family: Bacterial small subunit ribosomal RNA
Source: RNAcentral
GAUGAACGCUGGCGGCGUGCCUAAUACAUGCAAGUCGAGCGAACGGACGAGAAGCUUGCUUCUCUGAUGUUAGCGGCGGACGGGUGAGUAACACGUGGAUAACCUACCUAUAAGACUGGGAUAACUUCGGGAAACCGGAGCUAAUACCGGAUAAUAUUUUGAACCGCAUGGUUCAAAAGUGAAAGACGGUCUUGCUGUCACUUAUAGAUGGAUCCGCGCUGCAUUAGCUAGUUGGUAAGGUAACGGCUUACCAAGGCAACGAUGCAUAGCCGACCUGAGAGGGUGAUCGGCCACACUGGAACUGAGACACGGUCCAGACUCCUACGGGAGGACGCAGUAGGGAAUCUUCCGCAAUGGGCGAAAGCCUGACGGAGCAACGCCGCGUGAGUGAUGAAGGUCUUCGGAUCGUAAAACUCUGUUAUUAGGGAAGAACAUAUGUGUAAGUAACUGUGCACAUCUUGACGGUACCUAAUCAGAAAGCCACGGCUAACUACGUG